Molecule: unclassified non-coding RNA, 225 nt
Filed under: Hevea brasiliensis (rubber tree)
Lineage: Eukaryota; Viridiplantae; Streptophyta; Magnoliopsida; Malpighiales; Euphorbiaceae
Source: RNAcentral
GAUAAGUAUGCCAAUAGGGGCGACGUCCAUAAUGCGGAGAAGAUCUUUCAUAAGAUGAAGCUGAUCGGGUAUGCCCCUAGGUUGGCACAGUUUCAGUCUUUACUCCAGGCUUAUGUUAAGGCUAAAACGCCAGCGUACGGUUUUCGGGAGAGGAUGAAGGCUGAUAACAUGUUUCCUAACAAACUCGUGUCGUCGCACUUGGCGGCCAUUGACGCUUUCAAGAAG